CUUCGGGUUCUGCCGUGGAAUGAGCACAAUUUAAAUCCCUUAGCGAGGAUCAAUUGGAGGGCAAGUCUGGUGCCAGCAGCCGCGGUAAUUCCAGCUCCAAUAGCGUAUAUUAAAGUUGUUGCAGUUAAAAAGCUCGUAGUUGGAUUUCUUUUAUGUUAAGAGGGUUUGGGAUUGUGUGCAUCUUUUUGGUGUAUACGUCCUUCCUCUUUCAUGAAACAUUUGUAUGUUGUUUCAACAUACAUCAUUUACUGUGAAAAAAUCAAAGCGUUCAAAGCAGGCUUUAUGCAAUGAAUGUCUCAGCAUGGAAUAAUAAUUUAAGCCAUCGUCUUAUUUUGUUGGUUUACAAGAUGAAGGAAUGUUUAAUAGGAUCAGUCGGGGAUAUCCGAACUUAGAAGUCAGAGGUGAAAUUCUUGGAUUUUCUAAAGUCGAACUACUGCGAAAGCAUUUAUCAAGGAUGUUUUCAUUAAUCAAGAACGAAAGUUUGGGGAUCGAAGAUGAUUAGAUACCAUCGUAGUCUAAACCAUAAACUAUGCCGAUUCGGGAUCGUCUUAUGAUAAUAAAUGUCAAAGGCGGCACCGUACGCGAAAGCAAAAUCUUUGGGUUCUGGGGGGAGUAUGAUCGCAAGGUUGAAACUUAAAGGAAUUGACGGAAGGGCACCAUCAGGCGUGGAGCCUGCGGCUCAAUUUGACCCAACUCGGGAAAACUUAGCACGGCAGGACAAAAUAAGGAUUGACAGAUUGAGAGCUCUUUCUUGAUUCUUUGGGUGGUGGUGCAUGGCCGUUCUUAGUUGGUGGAGUGAUUUGUCUGGUUAAUUCCGUUAACGAACGAGACCUCAACCUAUUAAAUAGUAUAACCAUUCUUACGGAUGGGGAUUACUUCUUAGAGGGACUUUUCGAUUUUAUCGGAAGGAAGUUUGAGGCAAUAACAGGUCUGUGAUGCCCUUAGAUGUCCUGCGCCGCACGCGCGCUACAAUGACCAGUUCAAUCGGUAAUUCCUUGGUCGAGAGGCCUGGGUAAUCCUAGAACUCUGGUCGUGAUGGGGCUAGAUUUUUGCAAUUAUUAAUCUUCAACGAGGAAUGCCUAGUAAACGCAAGUCAUCAUCUUGCAUUGAAUACAUCCCUGCCCUUUGUACACACCGCCCGUCGCAUCUACCGAUGAAUUUUGCGGUGAAGUCUUGGGA
Molecule: ribosomal RNA, 1179 nt
Filed under: metagenome
Description: bacterial SSU rRNA
Rfam family: Eukaryotic small subunit ribosomal RNA
Source: RNAcentral